CUGUGGCCGUAUCACGUUGAAACACCGAUUCCCGUACGAUUACCAGUUAAGCAUCGUCAAACCUGGUCAGUUACUUAGAUGGGUGACCGCUUGGGAAUAGUGGAUGCUGUAAGC
Non-coding RNA from Acanthosepion pharaonis, 114 nucleotides. The record is from the annotation of a GenBank genome assembly. Lineage: Eukaryota; Metazoa; Mollusca; Cephalopoda; Sepiida; Sepiidae.